UUUUAUGGUGGGCAUGCGUGGGGCUCCUUUGUGAGCGCCGGGUUUCCUGUUUCGACCGGUCUACCAACCUGCGUAUGACCACCACCUUU
RNAcentral lists this non-coding RNA (89 nucleotides) under Pseudomonas moraviensis. Lineage: Bacteria; Pseudomonadati; Pseudomonadota; Gammaproteobacteria; Pseudomonadales; Pseudomonadaceae. RNAcentral also lists the same sequence under 1 other name. The record is from RNAcentral.